This 505-nucleotide ribosomal RNA is filed under the name uncultured bacterium. Its description in RNAcentral is "bacterial SSU rRNA". It matches the Rfam family "Bacterial small subunit ribosomal RNA", at positions 1 to 507 of the family's 1533-position model. The record is from RNAcentral.
AUUACAUUUUGAUCUUGGCUCAAAUUGAACGCUGGCGGCUUGCCUUACCCUUGCAAGUCGAACGGUAACGCGGGGCACCCUGGCGACAAGUGGCGAACGGGUGAGUAACGCAUCGAAACGUGCCCAUUAGUGGGGGAUAGCCCGGCAAAAGCCGGAUUAAUACCGCAUACAACCUACGGGUGAAAGGGGGGGAUCGCAAGACCUCUCGCUAUUGGAGCGGCCAAUGUCAAAUUAGGUAGUUGGUGGGGUAAAGGCCUACCAAGCCUACAAUCUGUAGCUGGUCUGAAAGGACAACCAGCCACACUGGGACUGAAACACGGCCCAAACUCCUACGGGAGGCAGCAGUGGGGAAUUUUGGACAAUGGGCGCAAGCCUGAUCCACCCUUGCCGCGUGCGGAAAGAAGGCCUUCGGGUUGUAAACCGUUUUUGUCAGGAAAAAAACGCUCUGGGAUAAUACCCUGGGGUAAUGACGGUACCUGAAAAAUAAGCACCGGUUAACUACGUG